AUGGGUAUUUUUAAGUUCCCUGCCUCCCUUUGUGAGGAGUUAACCCAGAUUAUCCGGAAUUUUUGGUGGGGAGAUGACGAAGAUCGAAGAAAAACACAUUGGUUAGCAUGGGACAAAUUAACAAGGUCUAAAGGUAAGGGUGGUAUGGGAUUCUGGGAUCUCAGAUUAUUUAACCAAGCCCUCUUAGCCAAACAAGCAUGGAGGUUAUUGGUUUAUCCGGAUUCGUUGUGUGCUAAGCUGAUGAAGGCAAAGUAUUAUUCUCAGGGACAUAUUCUUGAUACAGUGUUUCCUCAGUCUGCAUCACUCACUUGGCAAGGUAUUAUACAUGGU
RNAcentral lists this ribosomal RNA (330 nucleotides) under Triticum aestivum (bread wheat). RNAcentral's name for it is "partial small subunit ribosomal RNA". The record is from RNAcentral. Lineage: Eukaryota; Viridiplantae; Streptophyta; Magnoliopsida; Poales; Poaceae.